UGCAAGUCGGACGGUAGCACAGAGGAGCUUGCUCCUCGGGUGACGAGUGGCGGAAGGGUGAGUAAUGUCUGGGAAACUGCCCGAUGGAGGGGGAUAACUACUGGAAACGGUAGCUAAUACCGCAUAACGUCGCAAGACCAAAGUGGGGGACCUUCGGGCCUCACGCCAUCGGAUGUGCCCAGAUGGGAUUAGCUUGUAGGCGGGGUAACGGCCCACCUAGGCGACGAUCCCUAGCUGGUCUGAGAGGAUGACCAGCCACACUGGAACUGAGACACGGUCCAGACUCCUACGGGAGGCAGCAGUGGGGAAUAUUGCACAAUGGGCGCAAGCCUGAUGCAGCCAUGCCGCGUGUAUGAAGAAGGCCUUCGGGUUGUAAAGUACUUUCAGCGGGGAGGAAGGUGCUGAGGUUAAUAACCUCAGCAAUUGACGUUACCCGCAGAAGAAGCACCGGCUAACUCCGUGCCAGCAGCCGCGGUAAUACGGAGGGUGCAAGCGUUAAUCGGAAUUACUGGGCGUAAAGCGCACGCAGGCGGUCUGUUAAGUCAGAUGUGAAAUCCCCGGGCUUAACCUGGGAACUGCAUUUGAAACUGGCAGGCUUGAGUCUCGUAGAGGGGGGUAGAAUUCCAGG
This 628-nucleotide ribosomal RNA is filed under the name Pantoea sp. MS3. RNAcentral's name for it is "bacterial SSU rRNA". It matches the Rfam family "Bacterial small subunit ribosomal RNA", at positions 56 to 673 of the family's 1533-position model. The record is from RNAcentral. Lineage: Bacteria; Pseudomonadati; Pseudomonadota; Gammaproteobacteria; Enterobacterales; Erwiniaceae.